AACCCGCCUGCGUGAAGUUGGAAUCGCUAGUAAUCGCGGAUCAGCAUGCCGCGGUGAAUACGUUCCCGGGCCUUGUACACACCGCCCGUCACACCAUGAGAGUCGGGAACACCCGAAGUCCGUAGCCUAACCGCAAGGGGGGCGCGGCCGAAGGUGGGUUCGAUAAUUGGGGUGAAGUCGUAACAAGGUAGC
Molecule: ribosomal RNA, 192 nt
Filed under: uncultured bacterium
Lineage: Bacteria
Description: partial 16S ribosomal RNA
Rfam family: Bacterial small subunit ribosomal RNA
Source: RNAcentral